RNAcentral lists this ribosomal RNA (482 nucleotides) under uncultured bacterium. RNAcentral describes it as "partial 16S ribosomal RNA". It matches the Rfam family "Bacterial small subunit ribosomal RNA", at positions 30 to 507 of the family's 1533-position model. The record is from RNAcentral.
AUUGAACGCUGGCGGCAUGCUUUACACAUGCAAGUCGAACGGUAACAGGCCGCAAGGUGCUGACGAGUGGCGAACGGGUGGGUAAUGCAUCGGAGCGUGCCCAGUCGUGGGGGAUAACUACUCGAAAGAGUAGCUAAUACCGCAUACGAUCUAUGGAUGAAAGCGGGGGACCGUAAGGCCUCGCGCGAUUGGAGCGGCCGAUGUCAGAUUAGGUAGUUGGUGGGGUAAAGGCUCACCAAGCCAACGAUCUGUAGCUGGUCUGAGAGGACGACCAGCCACACUGGGACUGAGACACGGCCCAGACUCCUACGGGAGGCAGCAGUGGGGAAUUUUGGACAAAGGGCGCAAGCCUGAUCCAGCAAUGCCGCGUGCAGGAAGAAGGCCUUCGGGUUGUAAACUGCUUUUGUACGGAACGAAACGGCUCUGGUUAAUACCCGGGGCUAAUGACGGUACCGUAAGAAUAAGCACCGGCUAACUACGUG